UACGUAGGGUGCAAGCGUUGUCCGGAAUUAUUGGGCGUAAAGAGCUCGUAGGCGGUUUGUCGCGUCUGCUGUGAAAACUCGGGGCUUAACCCUGGGCCUGCAGUGGGUACGGGCAGACUAGAGUGCGGUAGGGGAGACUGGAAUUCCUGGUGUAGCGGUGAAAUGCGCAGAUAUCAGGAGGAACACCGGUGGCGAAGGCGGGUCUCUGGGCCGAUACUGACGCUGAGGAGCGAAAGCGUGGGGAGCGAACAGG
RNAcentral lists this ribosomal RNA (253 nucleotides) under uncultured bacterium. Its description in RNAcentral is "partial 16S ribosomal RNA". It matches the Rfam family "Bacterial small subunit ribosomal RNA", at positions 524 to 776 of the family's 1533-position model. The record is from RNAcentral.